AGGUGCGUGGCUUAGUGGUUAGAGUAUUCGGCUCAUGAUCGUAAGGUCGUGAGUUCAAUUCCCGGUUGUGUCCU
Non-coding RNA from Octopus bimaculoides (California two-spot octopus), 74 nucleotides. The record is from Rfam. Lineage: Eukaryota; Metazoa; Mollusca; Cephalopoda; Octopoda; Octopodidae.